UAUUGUUUCUAUACCGGCGUUCCUUCUUCUUGGAUGUUCUCUUUAUUCCUUGCCUUCAGUUCUCUAUACCGUGCUUGCCUUUUUCUCCCCGUCCGUUCGCCGUCUGUAGCCGCAGUUCUCAUUCUUCUAUAUACCCUGCUGUGUAAACCCUAAACAGCAACGAUGGCCACCCGCAACUGGAAUCUGGAGUGCAAGGUAUAUGUCGGAAAUCUUGGCAACAGUGCUGCCAAGAAUGAGAUUGAAGAUGCCUUCAGCAAGUACGGGAAUCUGCGCAACGUGUGGAUUGCGCGCAACCCUCCCGGCUUUGCAUUUGUGGAGUUUGAGGACCCACGGGAUGCUGAGGACGCAGUGCGAGGACUGGAUGGAACUCGGCUGUGCGGCGAGCGGGUCCGUGUGGAGAUGUCGUCCGGCAAGAGCCGCAGCCGCGGUGGUAUGCGCGGCGGCGGCGGCUACGGCGGUGGUGGUUUCGGCGGCAGGAGAUUUCCAUCAUACCACCACCCCUUGCCUCCGUCCAUCACACUUCACGGCCUAGCGUGGGUCACGUGACGCGGUCAGGUGACCCCUGACCCGCGACGUGACCCGGCCCGUCAAGGGACUCUCGGCUCACCCCCAUCUUGCGUCUCACACAUCGCCUCUUCGCGUCGUGUCACUCGUUUGCGUUAAUGGCCGCAUUAGCUACGUACUUGCUUCGUGGGCCCACCAUUCUCCGCUCCUCUGCGCUUCGCUCCCUCCGCUUAUGUCGAAGCAAGUAAGUGAGCACACCACCAGCGACGUAGAUGGGAUGCUCAUUGCUCAAAGCACUUGAAACUCGUUUCUGAUUUUGAGGCAUUGACUGCCUGAUAUGAAUGAUAAACGUCAUGUUUUUGUUAUGCUGUUGAGAGCUCGUGACAAAGCAGAGUGUUUUCAUUGCAAGCAUUCGGCAUGGACGGAGCAUAACUUGACCAAUUACUUUUCCUGGCAGGGUUUAUAUGACGUUGAGGAGCUGGAUAUAACUGUCGAAACUGUGUGUUUCGUUAACUUUCCGCCCUUUCAGAGAUAUCGGUGCCUUUUCCGUUCAUGGGACGGGGCCCGGUGCCAGGAGACAGACUGUGGUUCCAUGCUAACACGGUCAGUGAGCCAGUGCUCCGGCCCAUACCGGAGCCGUGUGUGUAUGUCUGUGUGCGCUGUCUGACACUGUGCCGUGUGCGUGUGUUGGUGCAGGUCGCCGGGCCGCCGCUCCAUCUCGCCGCGGCGCCGGUCACGCAGCCGCAGCCCGCGUGGUUCGCCCGUCUACGACCGCUACAGGAGGUCCAGGAGCCGCGACUGAAGAGGUCCGCCGCCACCGACACUGGCCACUGUUGUCAGCGUUUGACGCCCCCGGAUGACGCCGGCACCCCCCCCCCCUCCCCAGCGCCGCCCAUACCCCCCUCCCUCGCUUCUGAAACGUGUGCGCUCAGAGGCCGGCCACGAGCCCUGCAGAAUAUCAGCUGUCUAUGAUCUGGCUGGUGGUGUAAUUUGCAUGACUGAGGAGUUCAGCUCACGGUAGCGGUUUGUGGCAUUCCAUUAUUUCAUCUGAGAUCGUGACGUCGGUGUAUGAACGUCAGAAAUACACGUUCAGCGAUUUU
Molecule: RNA transcript, 1604 nt
Organism: Amphibalanus amphitrite
Lineage: Eukaryota; Metazoa; Arthropoda; Thecostraca; Balanomorpha; Balanidae
Gene name: RNA-binding protein 1-like
Exons: 5
Source: RefSeq, a predicted model, not a curated record